GUAACACAAGGUUUUUUUGUUGUUGAUGUUUUAAAAAAAGAAAAAGAGGAAAUAAAAAAGCCAUAUGGGAAGAAUCAGAGAGGAAGAGACUGGCCUUCACCUUUGAGGCAGAUACAGGCUGCAAAGGGUGGGCAGGCAUGGGGGCUACGAAGGCAGGAUUCAUGCUGAGAAACUCACCCAACCAGUUGGCCUAGGAGAAGAAGAGAGAAGGAUUGUUUGCCAUUGUUUGCCAGUCCCUCCUGCUACCAGAGCCAGCUCCUGCUGGUUCCAGCACAUCUCAAGAUGCCAAAGAAGAGGCCUUCCUGGAUCCAAGAUGGCAGU
Molecule: long non-coding RNA, 321 nt
Filed under: Phascolarctos cinereus (koala)
Lineage: Eukaryota; Metazoa; Chordata; Mammalia; Diprotodontia; Phascolarctidae
Description: lncRNA (ENSPCIG00000037314.1)
Source: RNAcentral